UACGUAGGGGGCGAGCGUUGUCCGGAAUUAUUGGGCGUAAAGAGCGUGUAGGCGGCCAGAAAAGUCCGCUGUGAAAACUCGAGGCUCAACUUCGAGCUGUCGGUGGAAACUUUCUGGCUAGAGUCCGGAAGAGGAGAAUGGAAUUCCUGGUGUAGCGGUGAAAUGCGCAGAUAUCAGGAAGAACACCCGUGGCGAAGGCGGUUCUCUGGGACGGUACUGACGCUGAGACGCGAAAGCGUGGGGAGCGAACAGG
RNAcentral lists this ribosomal RNA (253 nucleotides) under uncultured bacterium. RNAcentral describes it as "partial 16S ribosomal RNA". It matches the Rfam family "Bacterial small subunit ribosomal RNA", at positions 524 to 776 of the family's 1533-position model. The record is from RNAcentral.